ACUCCUACGGGAGGCAGCAGUGGGGAAUAUUGCACAAUGGGCGCAAGCCUGAUGCAGCCAUGCCGCGUGUAUGAAGAAGGCCUUCGGGUUGUAAAGUACUUUCAGCAGUGAGGAAGGUGGGUAUGUUAAUAGCAUAUUCAUUUGACGUUAGCUGCAGAAGAAGCACCGGCUAACUCCGUGCCAGCAGCCGCGGUAAUACGGAGGGUGCGAGCGUUAAUCGGAAUUACUGGGCGUAAAGCGCAUGCAGGUGGUUUGUUAAGUCAGAUGUGAAAGCCCGGGGCUCAACCUCGGAAUUGCAUUUGAAACUGGCAAACUAGAGUACUGUAGAGGGGGGUAGAAUUUCAGGUGUAGCGGUGAAAUGCGUAGAGAUCUGAAGGAAUACCGGUGGCGAAGGCGGCCCCCUGGACAGAUACUGACACUCCGAUGCGAAAGCGUGGGGAGCAAACAGGAUUAGAUACCCUGGUAGGCUCU
RNAcentral lists this ribosomal RNA (471 nucleotides) under uncultured bacterium. Its description in RNAcentral is "bacterial SSU rRNA". It matches the Rfam family "Bacterial small subunit ribosomal RNA", at positions 335 to 798 of the family's 1533-position model. The record is from RNAcentral.